Molecule: ribosomal RNA, 494 nt
Filed under: uncultured bacterium
Lineage: Bacteria
Description: bacterial SSU rRNA
Rfam family: Bacterial small subunit ribosomal RNA
Source: RNAcentral
GACGAACGGCUGGCGGCGUGCCUAAUGCAUGCAAGUCGAGCGGGCUACGAUCUUCGGAUUGUAGCUUAGCGGCGAACGGGUGAGUAACACGUAGGUAAUCUACCCUUCAGAGGAGGACAACCUCAGGAAACUGAGGCUAAACCUUCAUACGUUCACUGGUAGGGAUACUGGUGAAGAAAGAGUUACCUUAGUGGUAGCUGCUGAAGGAUGAGCCUGCGGCCCAUCAGGUAGUUGGUGAGGUAACGGCUCACCAAGCCGAAGACGGGUAACCGGUCUGAGAGGAUGUCCGGUCACACUGGGACUGAGACACGGCCCAGACUCCUACGGGAGGCAGCAGCAGGGAAUCUUGGGCAAUGGGCGGAAGCCUGACCCAGCCAUGCCGCGUGAAGGAAGACGGCCUUAUGGGUUGUAAACUUCUUUACUAUGCGACUAACUAGAUUUACGAGAUAAUUCUAUAGAAUGUAGCAUAGCAAAAAGCACCGGCUAACUCCGUG